CCGGUCCAGGCCGGCGCGAUCCAACCGGCCAUCGACGCCGGGCUGGUCCAGAUCCAGGACCGGCGGCUGCGGUUCCGGCACCCGCUGGUCCGGUCC
This 96-nucleotide transfer RNA is filed under the name Actinoplanes ianthinogenes. RNAcentral describes it as "tRNA-Arg". Lineage: Bacteria; Bacillati; Actinomycetota; Actinomycetes; Micromonosporales; Micromonosporaceae. The record is from RNAcentral.